CACUGGUUAAGUCAGUGGGUCCGCGACUAUGGGAUUGAAAAUCCCCGUGUCGGUGGUUCGAUUCCGCCUCCGGGCACCA
RNAcentral lists this transfer RNA (79 nucleotides) under Escherichia coli. RNAcentral describes it as "tRNA-Phe". The record is from RNAcentral. Lineage: Bacteria; Pseudomonadati; Pseudomonadota; Gammaproteobacteria; Enterobacterales; Enterobacteriaceae.